GGGGCUGUCGGCUAGUUUGGCCUAGGCUACGAGACUUGGGCUCUCGUGACCCCGGUUCAAAUCCGGGCAGCCCCA
This 75-nucleotide transfer RNA is filed under the name Candidatus Bathyarchaeota archaeon. RNAcentral describes it as "tRNA-Pro". It matches the Rfam family "tRNA". Rfam says of the family: Transfer RNA (tRNA) molecules are approximately 80 nucleotides in length. Their secondary structure includes four short double-helical elements and three loops (D, anti-codon, and T loops). Lineage: Archaea; Thermoproteati; Candidatus Bathyarchaeota. The record is from RNAcentral. RNAcentral also lists the same sequence under 1 other name.